GACGAACGCUGGCGGCGUGCUUAACACAUGCAAGUCGAACGGAAAGGCCCUGCUUUUGUGGGGUGCUCGAGUGGCGAACGGGUGAGUAACACGUGAGUAACCUGCCCUUGACUUUGGGAUAACUUCAGGAAACUGGGGCUAAUACCGGAUAGGAGCUCCUGCUGCAUGGUGGGGGUUGGAAAGUUUCGGCGGUUGGGGAUGGACUCGCGGCUUAUCAGCUUGUUGGUGAGGUAGUGGCUUACCAAGGCUUUGACGGGUAGCCGGCCUGAGAGGGUGACCGGCCACAUUGGUACUGAGAUACGGCCCAGACUCCUACGGGAGGCAGCAGGGGGGAAUAUUGCACAAUGGGCGGAAGCCUGAUGCAGCAACGCCGCGUUCGGGAUGACGGCCUUCGGGGUGUAAACCGCUUUCGCCUGUGACGAAGCGUGAGUGACGGUAAUGGGUAAAGAAGCACCGGCUAACUACGUG
This 468-nucleotide ribosomal RNA is filed under the name uncultured bacterium. Its description in RNAcentral is "partial 16S ribosomal RNA". It matches the Rfam family "Bacterial small subunit ribosomal RNA", at positions 28 to 507 of the family's 1533-position model. The record is from RNAcentral.